This 492-nucleotide ribosomal RNA is filed under the name uncultured bacterium. RNAcentral's name for it is "partial 16S ribosomal RNA". It matches the Rfam family "Bacterial small subunit ribosomal RNA", at positions 29 to 507 of the family's 1533-position model. The record is from RNAcentral.
AGUGAACGCUGGCGGUAGGCCUAACACAUGCAAGUCGAACGGCAGCACAGUAAGAGCUUGCUCUUACGGGUGGCGAGUGGCGGACGGGUGAGGAAUACAUCGGAAUCUACUUUUUCGUGGGGGAUAACGUAGGGAAACUUACGCUAAUACCGCAUACGACCUACGGGUGAAAGCAGGGGAUCUUCGGACCUUGCGCGAUUGAAUGAGCCGAUGCCGGAUUAGCUAGUUGGCGGGGUAAAGGCCCACCAAGGCGACGAUCCGUAGCUGGUCUGAGAGGAUGAUCAGCCGCACUGGAACUGAGACACGGUCCAGACUCCUACGGGAGGCAGCAGUGGGGAAUAUUGGACAAUGGGCGCAAGCCUGAUCCAGCCAUACCGCGUGGGUGAAGAAGGCCUUCGGGUUGUAAAGCCCUUUUGUUGGGAAAGAAAAGCAGCAGGUUAAUACCCCGCUGUUCUGACGGUACCCAAAGAAUAAGCACCGGCUAACUUCGUG